GACGAACGCUGGCGGCGUGCUUAACACAUGCAAGUCGAACGGAAAGGCCCUGCUUUUGUGGGGUGCUCGAGUGGCGAACGGGUGAGUAACACGUGAGUAACCUGCCCUUGACUUUGGGAUAACUUCAGGAAACUGGGGCUAAUACCGGAUAGGAGCUCCUGCUGCAUGGUGGGGGUUGGAAAGUCUCGGCGGUUGGGGAUGGACUCGCGGCUUAUCAGCUUGUUGGUGGGGUAGUGGCUUACCAAGGCUUUGACGGGUAGCCGGCCUGAGAGGGUGACCGGCCACAUUGGGACUGAGAUACGGCCCAGACUCCUACGGGAGGCAGCAGUGGGGAAUAUUGCACAAUGGGCGAAAGCCUGAUGCAGCAACGCCGCGUGCGGGAUGACGGCCUUCGGGUUGUAAACCGCUUUCGCCUGUGACGAAGCGUGAGUGACGGUAAUGGGUAAAGAAGCACCGGCUAACUACGUG
RNAcentral lists this ribosomal RNA (468 nucleotides) under uncultured bacterium. RNAcentral's name for it is "partial 16S ribosomal RNA". It matches the Rfam family "Bacterial small subunit ribosomal RNA", at positions 28 to 507 of the family's 1533-position model. The record is from RNAcentral.